AGACCAGGAGUCCAUGCCUGAGGAGAGCUGAUGGAGGAGCCGUGCACCUGGAGAACCAUGAGUCUGCCUGCCAACAAGUAGUACUGGAAGGCGGGGCAUAGGGAGGUGAUGGAGGACCUGCCUGGUGAAGGACGUCAGGGUGGGGCGAGUGACACCCGACUCCAAGGGGAUAUCCACUGAGGAGGGAGCUGAAGGAGCCAUGCAUCUGGAAGGUGCAGUUGAAAUGCUGUGUCCAGUCUGGGACGGACAGAUCUGAGCUGCAUCAAACCUGUAUCUCUGACCAGCUGUAGGCCUUUAGUGAUCAACAACUGCCACUCAUCGCUGGCCUGUGGAUUCAUCUCCUUCACACUCACACAAUGUGACCUUGGCCUGUGGAUUCAUCUCCUUCACACUCACACAACGUGACCUUGGCCUGUGGAUUCAUCUCCUCCACACUCACACAACGUGACCUUGGCCUGUGGAUUCAUCUCCUCCACACUCACACAACAGGACUUUGGCCUGUGGAUUCAUCUCCUCCACACUCACGCAACAUGACCUUCUCACCAUCUGUUGCACGUUUGGAUGCACCUAGCGUGUUCCAUCGAGGGUUCCUUCCUCCCCACGGUGGGAGGGUUCCUUGUCCUUCAAGGCGUCGGGGUUCAGUGUUAGGGACAGAGUUAGGGACAGAUGGCUGCGCUGGAUUCACGAUACACGCUUUGUGAUCAAAAUGGGUUCGGACAUCGGACAAAUCGCUUCCCAAAAUGUUUCAAUGUGCAAACGAUUUUAUAAAAUGUAUACUCGUGGUGUUUAUAUAAAAUCGUAUAUAACAA
Gadus morhua (Atlantic cod) is the source of this 809-nucleotide long non-coding RNA. RefSeq lists it as uncharacterized. The record is from RefSeq and is a predicted model, not a curated record. The transcript has 4 exons. Lineage: Eukaryota; Metazoa; Chordata; Actinopteri; Gadiformes; Gadidae.